Molecule: long non-coding RNA, 379 nt
Organism: Psammomys obesus (fat sand rat)
Lineage: Eukaryota; Metazoa; Chordata; Mammalia; Rodentia; Muridae
Exons: 3
Source: RefSeq, a predicted model, not a curated record
UCCUGCUGGUGACCCCAUGGUCCUACGGGCAGGAGUUGGCUUAUUAGGCCUUCCCAGAACUCGCAGUUCUCAGUGUGGCCAGGCAUCAGGGAAUUUCUGCUCAGGCAUCGCUGAACAGCUCUAGAAGAUACCCUGUGGUAGGAUCCAUCAUGGAAAACAGCAGCUCUCCAGGAAUGAUCCCACAUUCCAGCACCAGACUGGGACUGCAGAGACAUCCAGACUGAACAACUACCAGAUUCUCGGGCUCUCCAUUGAGAGACAGGCUUUGCUGGAUUACCAGGACUAUGUCCUAAGCCAAAACAAACAAACAAAAACCGUGAAAUCACCUGACCUUGCAUUGGAACCUAAAGAAGCUGAAUAAACCUUUCUCUUUACAAGA